This 531-nucleotide long non-coding RNA is filed under the name Androctonus crassicauda. Lineage: Eukaryota; Metazoa; Arthropoda; Arachnida; Scorpiones; Buthidae. The record is from RNAcentral.
UAGGAUUGUGUGCUGAUUUUAUAAUUAUGAUCAAAGGAGCGAAUCUUUGACAUCGAAAUAGAAGCAAUGCAGGACACCUACAGAACCUGGGUCUAUAAAAAACCCACAUAUUGCCCUAUCAUCAUACCAAAUUGGUCAGCGGACUCAGUGAAGUAUAAAAAAGCUAUCUUCAGAUCCUUUAUAUGUAGGACAUAUACUUACUCUAUCAGUAGGAAUGAGUAUGAAGAAAAGAGAAAUUAUGUAAUAGAAAAAAGUAUAAAGCAUGGCUAUACCAAAGGUUUCAUAUAUACAGUAAAGCAGAAGGUUGAAGCCGCAAUAGAAAAUGCAUGAACAAACCCAGCUAGUGACAACGUGACACCCAUAGACAAUGGGAACACCCAUGAAGACCCAGAGAGUCUGUACACCGCAGUGCUGUACCACAUAGCCAACCUACCAGUGGUUAAGAAAGCAGCAAGAUUAACAAAUAAAAAGAUUGCCACCACGAGAAAUUCCACAGUGUUCACAUGCUUGAGAAAUAGCAAAGAUAAGUUA